AAAUCUUCAUGACAGAUGCCGCUUUGGCGACAUUGGCGAAACGACUUGGCGAAUCGAGAGCCGACGGAAAGGCUUCCGCCUACCUGCCAUUCGGCAGUCAGUGUCUAGCGCGGUUUAGAGCUGAAGCAAAAAUUUGAUACAGCAGUUUUUCGUACAAAAAUAAACAAGGAUUUGAUGAUUUUUCGACAUGGGUAUCGCCAGUGAUUAUUUAAUAUAACUGGACUGAAGACUUGAAAUUUAUUCAUAUAAAAGUGAUUUACUAUCCAUCACUGUGGAAGGAAAAGUUCUGUGAUAUCAUCCAGUUUCCUUUAUAUCGACGUAAUUAAGGAUUACUUACCAGGAAUUAAAAAUGGAUUACACAUUCGUUAAACAGCGGAGACGAAGCGCAGAAUGGACGGGAAGAAAAGCCCAGAGUAUAAGAUUGGGAACCUCCCAUCAGCACUCUGAUGUUCAUGAAACCCCUGAACAGCGAAGGUCAAAAACUCGUCCAUCCUGACAGCCCGAUAAUUGAGCAAAAAUGAACAAGUACUGUGCAGUGGCCGCGAAGGAAAUGCAAGAUGCGAGGUAAAAUAACACGCCUCUUCCUCGUUAGGAAAACUUCAUGCUCCUGCCUACUCAGUUCUACGUGAGUAAGGAAGAUGUGCCCGAGGGAUUGCACAUAAAUUGCACUGAAGAACAUCGAUGCCUUAAAACAACUGCCAAAGAGGCAAGAUACAAGUCAUAAAAAAGGGGAAGAAGGAAGGAAGAAGCUUCAAAAUGGAGAAUGCCAUCGAACGGUCACGCUGCGACAUCUAGGGAAGCAGCAAAGAACUACGUUUAUUUGAAGGUACAGCAAUUAGGCAACAGAUGGCAGCACUUGCCAUGGUAAAAAUUAGCCAAGCGAACAGUCAUUUCACCAAGUUGAACAACCAUUUCACGGUAAAAUCAGGGCUUGCUCUUGAGGUGACAUAAUUUAUGAAUUCGUGAAUAAAUAAAAAAAAUACGCAUUAAUAAUAAUAUUUUAUGUAAAAAAUACAGUGCAAAACCUAGAACUAAUCAGAAUUUUUAUAUUUUCAGAUUUGCCAGCAAGUUUUUGUGGCGGUUCCCAACCGCCACAAAAUUGUAAAAAUAAUUACCAGGAAAUUUCUCCCUCUUACUUAAUAUCAAUAAUUAAAAGUCCAGAUCGCAAAAAAUGGAUAAAAUAGCAAGAGAUCCUGCAUUGUUCGAUAUUUUGAACUUCAAAAUAAAAUUGCUAAACUGAAAAAAAAUAUUUUUUCCCCCUUUCCCCUCAAAAUUACGAUUUGAUAUGCAAAAUUGCACACUUUCUUAGAAUUUUCCGCACAAAAUUCCCAGAUUUAGUAAAGAUAAUCAACAUGUCAUACAUAAUUUGUUCACUAUACUAGCUGCUGAAUAUUAUAUAUGCCAAAGUAAUCUUUAUCACCAAUAUUUCAAAAAAUUAAUAAUUCCUAUUAUGUAUUAAAAAAGUUUAAUUUUUUAUUUAAUUCAAAUUUAUUAAUACGAAUUUCAAUAAAACACAUGCAUGUAAAUGAAUAAUUAUCUUUUCAUUCGAAAAAUUGAAGACCAAAGCACAAUAUAAAGAGAAACAGUGAUUUAAUGAAAGUUAACAGUUUUAUUUGAAAUUCUAUACAUAAUAAUUACAUAAAAAUUUGAAAUGUAUCCUAAAUAAAUGAGAAAAAUAGGAAAAAAAUAAUUUCAUACCUUGGAAGAGCUGCUGAACAGUCACAUUUAUAACUGCAUUUCACCAUUCAUUUCUGAAGCUUAGUUUAUAAACUAUUUUACUUUAGUUGUAAAAUUUGUUGUUUUAUGCUAGACUAAUUAAUUUGAAGUUAGAGCUCUUAUGCAGUGAUUUAUAAUCUUACAAAAAUAUUUCAAAAUUUAUUAUUUAAGUGAAUUUUAAUUGUGUUAAAAAUAAUUGUAGUGUUUUUACUUUCCAACUGUAAUGCUUUUUUUUUCUUUUUCAUUCCCUUUUUUGUGUUAAAAAAAUAAUUGUAGUGUUUUUACUUUCCAACUGUAAUGCUUUUUUUUUUUUUUUUUUUUUUCAUUCCCUUUUAAAAUGAUAUUGUUUUUCUCUUAAAAUUUCUCUUGGACAUAAAUAUGGCAUGUGAUAUUCUGUAAACAGUGCUCUUUUUUGCACAUCCAAGAUACAUUUAAUAAAAACAUCUUUUAAACUUCAUAUCAUCAUUACUAACAAAAUACAUGUGUUAUAUUUAUUAUGCAACCAAUAAACAUGCCAUCAAUAUAUAUAAUAUAUAUAUAUAUGCUAUAUUUUCCAGGUAAUACAAACAUUUUUAAAAGUUGGACUUCAUAAUAAAUCCAAUUAUCUUUAAAAUCUUAAUACCUGAAAAGUAUUUGCUAUCAUAGUUUGUCUUUCAUUUUACUGAAGUAAAUUAAAAUUCAUUAAAAUUGUUAAAGAUAACACAUCAAUAUAUCCAAUAUAAGAUAUUUUCAAUUUUACUGAUUUAAAAAUGAAACUAUAAAAUGUAUUAAAAAUCUUUGUUAUUUUAAGAAAUAAGAGUACCAUCACCAUAAUUAUUAACAUGCGCAAUUUAGUUAAGCAUCAGUCAAAAGUACAGGGUGCUCACUUGAUAGAAAGCAUGGCAUGCUUUAAAAUUUAUUUUGGUACAUCUUUUAUUUUUAGCUAACAUUUCAUUUUAAAAGGUAUAACAGAAGAGUUCACAUACAGUAAAACAAAAGGCAAUUUAAUUAAAAAGACAGAAAAAUUUGCACACUCAUAUUUAACUAGGAAAAUACUAAAAUUAACCAUUUAAAAGCAGUUGCACAUGCAAUUUACAUUAAAUAUUGUUUACAUUUUUUCCCCCUUUCCAGGUCAUUCCACAGAGAGAUACUGAUUUAUUUUAAACAUUGAUUUAGCCUAUCCAUGCUUAAGAAGUUUACUCAAUAAAUCAUCUACCUAAUAUUUGAGAUUCUAAAAAGAUAAUAUCGAAUACUAUGAUAUAAAAAUAUAAAUGUCAAGAAACAUAGAAAUAAAAAUAAAUAUAUUUUAAAAUUUACUCUUUUGAAAAAUGUGCCAAAAAUUUGAAAGCUUCAAUAUUAGGCUUCAACUUACUUCCAUUCAUAUACAAGAAUGAUUUAAAAAAAAAAAAAAGUUAUAGUGCAGAAAAAAAGGGAGGAUAUUUU
RNAcentral lists this long non-coding RNA (3138 nucleotides) under Stegodyphus dumicola. Its description in RNAcentral is "uncharacterized LOC118193933, transcript variant X2". The record is from RNAcentral. Lineage: Eukaryota; Metazoa; Arthropoda; Arachnida; Araneae; Eresidae.